AUUGAACGCUGGCGGCAUGCCUUACACAUGCAAGUCGAACGGCAGCGGGGGAGAAGCUUGCUUUUCCUGCCGGCGAGUGGCGAACGGGUGAGUAAUACAUCGGAACGUGCCCUGUAGUGGGGGAUAACUAGUCGAAAGAUUAGCUAAUACCGCAUACGACCUGAGGGUGAAAGUGGGGGACCGCAAGGCCUCAUGCUAUAGGAGCGGCCGAUGUCUGAUUAGCUAGUUGGUGGGGUAAAGGCCUACCAAGGCGACGAUCAGUAGCUGGUCUGAGAGGACGAUCAGCCACACUGAGACUGAGACACGGCACAGACUCCUACGGGAGUCAGCAGUGGGGAAUUUUGGACAAUGGGCGAAAGCCUGAUCAAGCAAUGCCGCGUGUGUGAAGAAGGCCUUCGGGUUGUAAAGCACUUUUGUCCGGAAAGAAAUGGCUCUGGUUAAUACCUGGUGUCGAUGACGGUACCGGAAGAAUAAGGACCGGCUAACUACGUGCCAGCCGCCGCAGUAA
This 508-nucleotide ribosomal RNA is filed under the name uncultured bacterium. RNAcentral's name for it is "partial 16S ribosomal RNA". It matches the Rfam family "Bacterial small subunit ribosomal RNA", at positions 30 to 523 of the family's 1533-position model. The record is from RNAcentral.